AUUGAACGCUGGCGGCAGGCCUAACACAUGCAAGUCGAACGGUAACAGGAAGAAGCUUGCUUCUUUGCUGACGAGUGGCGGACGGGUGAGUAAUGUCUGGGAAACUGCCUGAUGGAGGGGGAUAACUACUGGAAACGGUAGCUAAUACCGCAUAACGUCGCAAAGACCAAAAGAGGGGGACCUUUCGGGGCCUCUUGCCAUCGGAUGUGCCCAGAUGGGAUUAGCUAGUAGGUGGGGUAACGGCUCACCUAGGCGACGAUCCCUAGCUGGUCUGAGAGGAUGACCAGCCACACUGGAACUGAGACACGGUCCAGACUCUACGGAGGCAGCAGUGGGG
Molecule: ribosomal RNA, 337 nt
Filed under: uncultured bacterium
Lineage: Bacteria
Description: bacterial SSU rRNA
Rfam family: Bacterial small subunit ribosomal RNA
Source: RNAcentral